GAUGAACGCUAGCGGCAGGCUUAACACAUGCAAGUCGAGGGGUAGAGGAAGCUUGCUUCCUUGAGACCGGCGCACGGUGCGUAACGCGUAUGCAAUCUACCUUAUACAGGGGGAUAGCCCAGAGAAAUUUGGAUUAAUACCCCAUAGUAUAAUUGAAUGGCAUCAUUUAAUUAUUAAAGUUCCAACGGUAUAAGAUGAGCAUGCGUCCCAUUAGCUAGUUGGUGUGGUAACGGCACACCAAGGCGACGAUGGGUAGGGGUCCUGAGAGGGAGAUCCCCCACACUGGUACUGAGACGCGGACCAGACUCCUACGGGAGGCAGCAGUGAGGAAUAUUGGUCAAUGGGCGCAAGCCUGAACCAGCCAUGCCGCGUGCAGGAUGACGGUCCUAUGGAUUGUAACUGCUUUUGUACAGGAAGAAACACUCCCUCGUGAGGGAGCUUGACGGUACUGUAAGAAUUAAGGAUCGGCUAAACUCCGUGCCAGCAGCCG
RNAcentral lists this ribosomal RNA (490 nucleotides) under uncultured bacterium. RNAcentral describes it as "bacterial SSU rRNA". It matches the Rfam family "Bacterial small subunit ribosomal RNA", at positions 28 to 517 of the family's 1533-position model. The record is from RNAcentral.